Molecule: long non-coding RNA, 1481 nt
Filed under: Mus musculus (house mouse)
Lineage: Eukaryota; Metazoa; Chordata; Mammalia; Rodentia; Muridae
Description: predicted gene, 47003
Source: RNAcentral
AAAAAAAAAAAAACCAAACCAAAAAAAAACCGAAACUUUCACCACAGACACAUAAAGUUGUUCUGUGUUUAUUUGCCAUUUUUUCUCCAAGCAUACCAAAAAAAAAAAAAAAAAACCAAGUACAUACACAUCUGUGGCUACACUGUUUACAGAGUAACUUUCCUGAACUGCUUUUCUUUCCCUUUAUGUAUUCCUCCCUGCAAUUAACUGACUUUUUCUUUUUAAAAAAAAAUUAUUUAUUAUUAUAAGUAAGUACACUGUAGCUAUCUUCAGAUGCACCAGAAGAGGGCAUCAGAUCUUAUGGGUGGUUGCAAGCCACCAUGUGGUUGCUGGGAUUUGAACUCAGGACCUUUGGAAGAGCAUUGGGUGUUCUUACCCACUGAGCCAUCUCACCAGCCCCCCCUUGUUGCACUUUUUAAAGACCAUAAUAGUCAGGUAUCAGUAACUCCGAGCUUACUUUCUGGGUCUCAAAUCCCUGCUGUCCGCCCCUCAGGAGUGGAAUGUGGGGACUCCUCACCAAACACAAACAUCAAUACACAGAAGCCUCUGAAGAUGAGGAUGCCUCUUACCAAAGCGUGCCGUGCCACCUCAUUAGCCCAAGACUUCCACUUCCACGCUGUUCUAGGAUGCAAGACAAGUGGGUGGCUCUGAGACUUGGAUAGGGGGACUGGAAAGUAACCUGCCCUUGAUGCUCACCUGGACCUAAAAUGAGGGUUCCUCCUUGCUGAGCUGGGUCUCCUUGGAAAUCAAAAAGUGGGCCAGUGACUGCCCGCCACAGGCUCUGAAGGCUUCCCGAGAGCAGGUUGGACUUUAUGUGGGGGCUCUGUCCUGAAAAUAUUGAAAACUGUCUUUAGGUGUUAUCAUUUUAUAUUCCAGUUAGAUAUGGUGCCAGUUCUUAUAUGAAACAGUCUUUAAAACAUGUUUGCAUUAUGUGUUUAUGUGUGUAUUUGUGUGUGGUUCUGCAUGUUCAUGCUGUGCCCGCUGGAGGCCCCUGGAAGUGGAGUUACAGGCAGUUGUGAGUCUCCCAUUGCAAACUGAACUUGGGUCCUUUGCAAGAACACCGUGAACUCUUAAUGGUGAAGCCACCAUCUCUCCAGCCACGCAAACCUUCUCUAUUGUGCCCCGCCCUCCUUUCCUUACUCUGCAAUGGAGAUCACAGCACUGAACUUUCCACUGACCUUUUCCUUCUUUGCAACACUGGCAAACCUGUCACUCACACUGGCUCAGAUGUCCUUUUCUAUUGCACAGAAAGGCAUUUGGCAACAUCCUUGCCUUCUACACCAGCUAAAUUCGAGUAACACUGGUCGCCGAGCUGGACAACCAAAAACAUCUCCAGGACAAACAUACUGGAAGGGGGUAAUGUCCCUUCUGAGGACACUGUCUUAAAGGAAGAAGUGCAACAGACCUGACUCAUCUGCCAGAAAGGACAUCGGUGACCCAUUUCUCAGAUUUGUACCCCUUCUAUCUUAACUUCCCAUGUA